This 69-nucleotide transfer RNA is filed under the name Scotonycteris zenkeri (Zenker's fruit bat). RNAcentral's name for it is "tRNA-Ala". It matches the Rfam family "tRNA". Rfam says of the family: Transfer RNA (tRNA) molecules are approximately 80 nucleotides in length. Their secondary structure includes four short double-helical elements and three loops (D, anti-codon, and T loops). Lineage: Eukaryota; Metazoa; Chordata; Mammalia; Chiroptera; Pteropodidae. The record is from RNAcentral.
GAGGGCUUAGCUUAAUUAAAGUAAUUGAUUUGCGUUCAGUAGAUGUAGGGCGUGGUCCUGCAGUCCUUA